AUUGAACGCUGGCGGAAUGCUUUACACAUGCAAGUCGAACGGCAGCACGGACUUCGGUCUGGUGGCGAGUGGCGAACGGGUGAGUAAUGUAUCGGAACGUGCCCAGUGGAGGGGGAUAACGUAGUGAAAAUUACGCUAAUACCGCAUACGAUGCCUGGAUGAAAGCGGGGGAUCGUAAGACCUCGCGCGAUUCGAGCGGCCGAUAUCAGAUUAGGUAGUUGGUGGGGUAAAGGCCCACCAAGCCAACGAUCUGUAGCUGGUCUGAGAGGACGACCAGCUACACUGGAACUGAGUCACGGUCCAGACUCCUACGGGAGGCAGCAGUGGGGAAUUUUGGACAAUGGGCGAAAGCCUGAUCCAGCCAUUCCGCGUGCAGGAUGAAGGCCCUCGGGUUGUAAACUGCUUUUGUACAGAACGAAAAGGUUUCUACUAAUACUAGGAGCUCAUGACGGUACUGUAAGAAUAAGCACCGGCUAACUACGUGCCAGCAGCCGCCGUAA
This 500-nucleotide ribosomal RNA is filed under the name uncultured bacterium. RNAcentral's name for it is "partial 16S ribosomal RNA". It matches the Rfam family "Bacterial small subunit ribosomal RNA", at positions 30 to 523 of the family's 1533-position model. The record is from RNAcentral.